Molecule: long non-coding RNA, 3732 nt
Filed under: Elaeis guineensis (African oil palm)
Lineage: Eukaryota; Viridiplantae; Streptophyta; Magnoliopsida; Arecales; Arecaceae
Description: long non-coding RNA (EGUI_LNC026984)
Source: RNAcentral
ACUGUAACAAACAAACAACAAUAACUUUGGCAUUGGCAGUGUUAAACUGUAACAAACAAACAACAAUAACUUCUAAAAAUCAAGGCACAAUAUCAAACAUCCAUUGAAAGAAAAACACAUGCCACAACAAUCAAUCGACAUGAUCAGCAAUAUCGCAAGGCACAAUAUCAAACAUCCAUUGAAAGAAAAACACAUGCCACAACAAUCAAUCGACAUGAUCAGCAAUAUCGCAAGGCACAAUAUCAAACAUCCAUUGAAAGAAAAACACAUGCCACAACAAUCAAUCGACAUGAUCAGCAAUAUCGCAAUAUCUAAACAAAGAUCGAUACAAUCAUUCCAACUAAACAGUCCAAACAGAAUGCACAAAGACCGAUACAAUCAUUCCAACUAAACAGUCCAAACAGAACGAAAGACCUUCCACCAAAACAUUCUAGCACACAUCCGGUCACCGCCUCUCCCCUCGAACACGAAUUCUGGAAGAAAAAAAUAGCUCAACUUUCAAUCCGUCAAAACGUCUUCCAACUAAACAGUCCAAACAGAACGUAAGACCUUCCACCAAAACAUUCUAGCACACAUCCGGUCACCGCCUCUCCCCUCGAACACGAAUUCUGGAAGAAAAAAAAAGCUCAACUUUCAAUCCGUCAAAACGUCUUCCAACAAUGGAAAGAAAAAAAUAUUGGGCAACAAACGUAAUGCAUGGAAAGACACUCAUGGUAGCUAUGACAAUGAAAAAACGAGAAACCACGAAUUUCCCCUCCAUACAUAACUGCUCCAGUAACACUGUAACAGGACUAAUAAUUAACCACCCUUAUAACCACAUUCUAGCACACAUCCGGUCACCGCCACUCUCCUCGAACACUAACAAGGAACAUACUAGCACACAUCGUCGCCGCCACACUCCUCGAACACAAAUUCUGGAAGAAAAAAAAAAAUAUUGGGCAACAGACAAACUGGAUGACGUGCAUGGAAGGACUAAUGGUAGAACUUAAAUCACAAAUGGUAGAACUUAGAACACAAAUUCUGGAAGAAAAAAAAAUAUGGGGCAACAGACAAACUGGAUGACGUGCAUGGAAGGACUCAUGGUAGAACUUAAAUCACAAUGACAAUGAAAAAACGAGAAACCACGCGAGAAACCACACGAAACCAGCUUUGUGACGAUGAUACCCGAUCUGGUAACUGAAAAAGUAGAAGGCAACUACACCGCAAAUUUCCCCUCCUCACAAAACUGCUCCAAUAACAUGACCAAUAACUAACAUCCCUUUUGACCAAAAUGCCAGCCACAGGUGAGAACCCCUUGUAAGCAACAAUCUCUGGCAAACAUCACAAUCUGGUACACAAAACUGCUCCAANNNNNNNNNNNNNNNNNNNNACCCGAUCUGGUAACUGAAAAAGUAGAAGGCAACUACACCGCAAAUUUCCCCUCCUCACAAAAAUAACUAACAUCCCUUUUGACCAAAAUGCCAGCCACAGGUGAGAACCCCUUGUAAGCAACAAUCUCUGGCAAACAUCACAAUCUGGUACAAAUCUGAUUGUUGGUUAGCAAGGUCACCAAACCUAGCAAGGUCACCAAACCAGCAAAUGGCAAAAUCAAUUUAAAAAUUAAACCACCAAGAAUAUUCCCACUCCGCAAAAGAUAAAUAAAUAAAUAAGCAGGAACCCCUUAUAUGCAACAAUCUCUGGCAACAUCACAAUCUGACACAAACAAAUCAAUUUAAAAAUUAAACCACAAAGAAUAUUCCAGUCCCCAAAAGAUAAAUAAAUAAAGAAGCAGGCUCUGGUUCAGACAAUCUAAAACCACUGUCAAGUGUGAGGGCAUCAACAUCAAACUAAGCCAAACAUGAUACGACAUACACCAGCAAAGUGCACAACAAUCAAUACAAUCUCAACCCAAAUUGCACAACAAUCGAUACAAUCUCAACCCAUGCAAACCCUUGGAGCACUGCAACAACAACAGAAGCGACACUUAAAAUCUAACUAUCAAGUCUCAAGGCCAAAAAAAAAAAACACAAUAGAUAAAGGGCCCAGUUUCAAAAACAAGCGGGCAAUUGAGAAGACAAAAGUCAAGCAAAAGGCGACAGGAGGACAUAAGAGAGUUAAGAAAAACCAAGUUGAAACAAUACUAUAAAAGCCAUGAACGCAGACGUCGUUUGACAUCGUUUGCCCUUCAACUCUCACCACUGUGUAACAAACAGGCAAAAAAUAAUUCAGACGUCAUCAUCUGGUGAAACAGUACUAUCAAAAAGGUCAAAACAAUGCUUCAAAUCCCUCAUGGAAAAAAAAAUAAAAAAAAAUCUCCACCAAUACGUCUUCCAAGAACAAACACUGGUCACUAGACAGAAUAUAUACAAGAAAAAAACAGUUAUAACCUAAAAUGCUACCAGGUUAGACAUGCUCCCUCGAUAGAUAUCAUAUCCACCAUAUUAACAAACCAUUCGACAUGCUCCCUCGAUAGAUAUCAUAUCCACCAAUACGUCUUCCAAGAACUAACACUGGUCACUAGACAGAAUAUAUACAAGAAAAAAACAGUUAUAACCUAAAAUGCUACCAGGUUAGACAUGCACCCUCGAUAGAUAUCAUAUCCGCCAUAUUAACAAACCAUUCGACAUGCUCCCUCGAUAGAUAUCAUAUCCGCCAUACUCCGAACAUCAUCAACCUACGUGCCAGGACAGAUCAGAUAUUAACAAUCUUAACAAUCUUACACCUUAAUUCCAAGAUUUAUAAAACGAGCAAAUUGGUAAUCGAAAAUGAUUUUUGGGGAAGGGGUGGGGGGUGGGAAUUAACAAUCUUAACAAUCUUACACCUUAAUUCCAAUGACACUUUAGUUUUAAAUCUCGUCACAAAAAGCCGGACAACUAAGAAGACAAAACUCAGCAAAUGGUGAUAACCAUAUAUAUAAAAAUAUUAACAGCAUUUCUCCACAACUAAAGCACCCUCGUUUAUCAACAGUCUCGAAGAACAUUAAAUAACACAGUAUAUAUCCUACACAAAAUGUUCCUUUAAAAAAUAUAGAAAAAUAUUAACAGCAUUUCUCCACAACUAAAGCACCCUCGUUUAUCAACAGUCUCGAAGAACAUUAAAUAACACAGUAUAUAUCCUACACAAAAUGUUCCUUUAAAAAAAAAAAAGCUAAUUUACACAAUUCCACUACAGUAUAUAUCCUCCACAAAAUGUUCCUUUAAAAAAAAAAAAAGCUAAUUUACACAAUUCCACUACAGUAUAUAUCCUCCACAAAAUGUUCCUUUAAAAAAAAAAAAAGCAAAUUUACACAAUUGCACUCCCUAUUGGAAAACAUUAAAGGGAAAAACAACAGCAUGUCUUCUCCACAACUAAAGCACCCUCGUUUAUACAUAUAACAAUUCACCAUCAGAAUCACCAUCAGACGCCCGCAAAAAGUCAUCUCUUUCAAAUAUCGACAAGACCCCCUCUACAAAUCAUCUCUUUCAAAUAUCGAUAAUCCAAUUAAAAUAUAUGGAGACAACACAUUAUUUACAAGUGUCAAAAGAUAACUUAGAACAGGAAAAAAAAAAGGAAAAACAAUGCUAACUGACCUAAAAAACAAAAUCAUUCGGUGCGGAAGAACUCUCACCCUCAACCCAUAAAAGAUCAUAUCCUCCAAAAAGAAGUCCACCAAGAUGAUGAUAGCAUUCAUUCUAAGUUUUCUUUUUCUAGAAGGGAAAAAAAAGGAUGACUAGUGAAAAACUAGGGGGAAAAAAGAAAUUGAGAAAAUCCNNN